UACGAGUGCCCCAAGCGUUAUCCGGAAUUAUUGGGCGUAAAGGGUGUGUAGGUGGCGAUGUUAGUCUUCUGUCAAAUUCUUCGGCUUAACCGGGGGUCUGCAGAGGAAACGGCAUUGCUCGAGGAUGCGAGGGGUGAAUGGAACUCAUGGAGUAGGGGUGAAAUCCGUUGAUAUCAUGGGGAACACCAAAAGCGAAGGCAAUUCACUGGCGCAUUCCUGACACUGAAACACGAAAGCGUGGGUAGCGAACGGG
Molecule: ribosomal RNA, 253 nt
Filed under: uncultured bacterium
Lineage: Bacteria
Description: partial 16S ribosomal RNA
Rfam family: Bacterial small subunit ribosomal RNA
Source: RNAcentral